CGUGUCUCUGCCCGUGGGCUAAGGGCGCGUGACUGCGGGGAGCCAAUGAGCGUGAGUCAGCAGGAUGACCGUGGUAGCUGGCACCUGGGCAUUUGGCCCGAGCGGUCCUCCUCCUGAACGGAAGGGUGCACGACCACAGUAAGGUCUACGCCAUCGAACCUGUUGGUUCCCACUCUGUUCUGGUAGGGAUCCCGGGAUCUGACAUCAGGAAUCUGGUCAGGAAUGUAUGCAUCAGGAAAAGAUAAGGUGUGAAGGCCAUUGUUAUAGCCAGAGUCAAGGAAGAAGUAGUAAAGAGACUUAAAGGACAUCAAAGAAUCAUCAGGUACUGCUUACUAUCCAGAUGGCUGUUAAACUGUCUGGCAUCACAGCGUGCAUACAUGCUUCGCAGUGUAAGAAGGCACCACCCCCAGCAAACCAAUCACCUCAGGACCACGCAGAGUCAAUUUUGACUCCAGAAGAAGAUGUAGAGGAACAGCCUGCAAUAUCUUACCAUCUACGCUCUCGUAAGGGUUGCCAGAAGCAGACGAGGACCUAAAGCAAGGCCCCAAAAGAAGCAGUAGUGAGCCUAGCGCCUGCUGCCUGCUGGAUGUAAAACCGUGACUGCGGUUCCCUCAGUUGAGGUUAUCAAAACUGAAAGGGCCUUGCCUCCAACAUGAGCCUCUGGUGGCGCCUGUUCCUCGGCUGCUGGUGUCUUAAGGUCUGGGGAGUCCACAAUGACAAUUCUUUUAUCCAGCAGCAAGUGUGGAUAGCUCAGACUCUUAAUAUUUCUAAUUGCUGGGUCUGCAGCCACAUCCCAGCUCACUCUCAAGCUGGUGUUCCUGUCCUGGCAAUCCCACUCAAUUCCCCAGACCUCACUGGAGGACCUUGUCCAUUUAACAAAACAUGGAACAAUAAUGACACUUGGGAAGCAGUGGGAAUAAAUGUAUCUAAAUGGAUAAGUGUGAUGGAGGGAAAAGGUCAUUGGUGUUGAGUGUGUAAUGGACAGGGCUGGAUCUGGGAAAAAGCCGUUGCCGUCAGCAUAUUGUGGCCAAUGCUGCAUGGGAUUAUUCGAACAAAACUAAAGAGUGGCGGGCUGGGUGCAGGGAUAUGAAUUUUUCUCAACCUGGGAUCAAACAGAAAAAUCAAUCUCAUGUUCCCCCUACAGUAAUCUUAGUGAAAACAAUACAAUCUUUCAAUGCCAUGCAAAUAACACCACUCCUCAUAAGGAGAAUUACCCUGUGCCUUUGGAGGAUAUUACUCCUCCUUUGUAGGCACCUAUGUGACAAAUGGGUGCAACCGACCCUUCCCAGCCUUAAUAGGCCAUCAUUGGGUUUGUGGGACCAAAGCUUAUACUGUGUUACCAGCUAACUGGUCAGGUAUCUGUUAUCCCGCCCGACUCUUCCCACAAUUCCGAGUGCUAGUGUCCUUCCCACGAGAACGCCUUCGUAAUUUCAGGCAAAGAAGAAGGGACUUAUCAGAUGCCCAAUGGUAUGCAAAUAACAUAAGCCCCUUGACCUGGGAAGAGGCUAUUGGCGGUUCCCUUAUCCCACUUGGGGGAGUAAUACACCGUGCAAAAAGGUUCCUAAGGUUACAAGCAGUAGUUGAAAUAAUGGCAAAUGAAACCGGAGAGAGUUUAAAGACCCUGGCCAAAGAAACAGGGGCGAUCCGACAGAUGGCCCUCCAAAACCAUCAGGCAUUGGACAUAGUGCUGGCGGCCAAAGGAGGGACCUGUGCUCUCAUUGGAAAAGAAUGUUGUGUGUUCAUACCUGACAACACCAAUGAGGUAAUAGAUCGCGCUAGUCACUUAGAACAAAUCGCAUAUCUUCCCUAUGAAGAGCCGAGUUCUUUAUGGAAGUGGCUAAGUAACCUAUUCAAUUUCUCUGGCAUAGGAAACUGGUUGUUUCAGGGAGCCCUGACUAUCCUGUGCAGAAUCCUAAUGAUUUUUGUAUGCUUUCAGUUAAUCUCCUGUUGUCUCCAGAACUGUGUAAGGUAUGCCACCCAGGUGACUUCCCCAAAACAGAGUGCUAAUAUGAUGAUGUUAAAUAUCACUGAUGAACGAAGAGAUAAAGAACUAUUAAUAUGUGGAACCCAGUAAUUGUUGGUCUUUGCGUAAGCUUGACCAAAAGGAGGGAUUGUGAAAGUGAAAUGAAUUAUAUUAAAGAAAAAGAAUGAAUUAAAGAAUGCUGUAUGUACCUUUAAGUAGAAAUGAGAAAUGCUGCAAGCCAGGGGGACAGGAAAGCAGACAUUAACUGCUUAACUUGUCACUUAAGGGCAAUUGGUGAAGCAUUAGCCUUAGAUCGAUAAGAGUUCAUAAGGAAGCAGGAUAUGCAUAUUGUGCCCUAUGCAAAUUUUACAAUUUUGCUCUCUGUCCCUUUGUUUAGUUCGCAUCCUUUUAUCUGUAUAAAUAAGACUGUUUGAAUCUUGCAUGGGGGCUCACAUUAUCUGAAUGUAUUAGCAGAGCACUGUGCUAAUAAAACAGAGUGGU
This is a long non-coding RNA of Malaclemys terrapin pileata, 2464 nucleotides long. RefSeq lists it as uncharacterized. The transcript is spliced from 3 exons. The record is from RefSeq and is a predicted model, not a curated record. NCBI's taxonomy places the organism in Eukaryota, Metazoa, Chordata, Testudines, Emydidae.